This 355-nucleotide ribosomal RNA is filed under the name uncultured Geobacter sp. RNAcentral's name for it is "bacterial SSU rRNA". It matches the Rfam family "Bacterial small subunit ribosomal RNA", at positions 1027 to 1382 of the family's 1533-position model. The record is from RNAcentral. Lineage: Bacteria; Pseudomonadati; Thermodesulfobacteriota; Desulfuromonadia; Geobacterales; Geobacteraceae.
ACCGGAUACAGGUGCUGCGAUGGCUGUCGUCAGCUCGUGUCGUGAGAUGUUGGGUUAAGUCCGCAACGAGCGCAACCCUCGCCCUUAGUUGCCAGCAUUUAGUUGGGCACUCUAAGGGGACUGCCGGUGAUAAGCCGAGAGGAAGGUGGGAUGACGUCAAGUCCUCAUGGCCCUUACGGGCUGGGCUACACACGUGCUACAAUAGCCGGUACAAAGGGUUGCGAAGCCGUGAGGUGGAGCGAAUCUCAAAAAGCCGGCCUCAGUUCGGAUUGGAGGCUGCAACUCGCCUCCAUGAAGUCGGAAUCGCUAGUAACCGCAGAUCAGCUACGUUGCGGUGAAUACGUUCCCGGGCCUU